RNAcentral lists this long non-coding RNA (735 nucleotides) under Medicago truncatula (barrel medic). Its description in RNAcentral is "long non-coding RNA (MTRU_LNC004731)". Lineage: Eukaryota; Viridiplantae; Streptophyta; Magnoliopsida; Fabales; Fabaceae. The record is from RNAcentral.
AAACAUCCAGGUCCAAACAAUAUUUACAAUAGAUCUCUACAAAAACAUAAAACAAUAGACAAAAAUAACAAGAAGAUUGCUUUUCUGACAUUCAAAACGUCAUAUUGACACAUGAAAAUGACGUUUUUACUCUGGCGGUAGUUAACUACCGUUCCAAAUAUACAGCAUAAAAAAAAAAAAAAAAAAAAUUGCUUCAGCGGUAGUUAACUAGCGAUAAUUAACUACCGUGGAGCAUGUAUAUGAUUUUUUUGGAAUUGUGAGGAUUCUUAACAGGUAGCCACACUUCAUCUCCAUAUUAUCACAAUGGCCUCCUAGCUACAAGCUCAAAAAAAAACCCAUAGACAUAUACAAGACGCAAAAAAUAUUCACUUUUGGAACACAACUUCGGGCAUCCGUUGCCACCUUCUUCAAGUUCCACUAACUUCUCUGAGAAGUAGAUGGUGAUGGUGCAGGAACACCAAAACAGAGAGAAAAUUAUUAAUUUUUUAAAAUACAAUAAUAAACUUGUUAAAAUUAUAAAAUGAUAUUAUGCACCUUUUAUUUGAUGGUGAAUGCUAGACACCAGCUAAUGGCGAAUUAGCUUUUUCAAACUCAAGAAGCAACAAAUAAGGGUAACACGGUAUAACAUAUGAAAGCCUAUCAUUUAUAAAACAAGAUGAAAGUAGGAGGAAAUGGAAGAUUGUCAGAGAAUAACUGCAACAAUAUAUCCUUCACGAUAGUUAACUACCGUUGGAG